CAGAAAAUAGUUUAAAUAAAAUAUUAAUUUUGGAGAUUAAUGAUAAAGAAGUGUCUUUUUUUCUGA
This 66-nucleotide transfer RNA is filed under the name Bittacomorphella fenderiana. RNAcentral's name for it is "tRNA-Pro". The record is from RNAcentral. Lineage: Eukaryota; Metazoa; Arthropoda; Insecta; Diptera; Ptychopteridae.